GAGGUCGGAGUUGAGUCUUCCCAGGCCCACCACUUUCAUCGAGUGAGCAUUCGUCUUCUGGUUACGGGGCCAUAGCUGAGCUGGGAGAGCGCGUGCUUUGCAAGCAUGAGGUCGUCGGUUCGAUCCCGUCUGGCUCCACCAGAUGGUUUGAUCACCUGCGACUGACCGUCGUCCGCGAAACAUCACUUCGCAUUCACUAGUCUGGAUAGACAGUGAACUGCGUGUUUUCUGACAUCGUAAAGAGGAGAUCGAUCCGAGUUGGGUCGUGCAGCAAAUUGUUGCGCGGAUCCUUCAUUAUCUCCGGAUCAUUUUCGGCGCUCGCUUUCAGCCGUGAGGCUGAACGCGAGUUGUAAAAUGAUCCUUUUAGCGAAGCUUGACCGCCUCGCUAUCGGAACGAUCUUACGAAGCAAGCUGGUCUUUCUAGUCAAUGUCCGGCUGUGAGAAUAGCGCUCGUCGAGGGCGCGUGCCGCAAGGCGGUUCUUACAGGCAGCAUUCUGCCGAGUGUGUGGACAUUGAUAAUGAGAGCAAUCAAGUGCCUUAAGGGUGUUCGGUGGAUGCCUUGGCGCUGAGAGGCGAUGAAGGACGUGCUACGCUGCGAUAAGCCGUGGGGAGCUGCGAAGAAGCUUUGAUCCGCGGAUUUCCGAAUGGG
This 649-nucleotide unclassified non-coding RNA is filed under the name uncultured Bradyrhizobium sp. RNAcentral describes it as "partial 16S-23S ribosomal RNA intergenic spacer". The stretch from base 527 to 649 matches the Rfam family "Bacterial large subunit ribosomal RNA", at positions 1 to 122 of the family's 2925-position model. The record is from RNAcentral. Lineage: Bacteria; Pseudomonadati; Pseudomonadota; Alphaproteobacteria; Hyphomicrobiales; Nitrobacteraceae.